Xenopus laevis (African clawed frog) is the source of this 1642-nucleotide long non-coding RNA. RefSeq lists it as uncharacterized. The transcript has 2 exons. Lineage: Eukaryota; Metazoa; Chordata; Amphibia; Anura; Pipidae. The record is from RefSeq and is a predicted model, not a curated record.
GUAGUCAAACAGGCAGGCAAAUUGAACCUAACAACGGGCAGUUAACAGAACACUGAAUUCCCCUUUUAUACAUUUUCAAUUUCACGCCCCUGUGUGUGACGUCAUCACGCCGGCGCAUAAACCAGGAAUUGCGCGCCAUAGAGGAACCGGCAGAGCAAGGAACAGGAGCAGCGCAGCGGGCGUCCACUAGACCACCAGGAGAAACCACUCAUCGGAUAUCGGUACAGACAUCAGCACAGCUGCGCAGACACUGGGACCUUCCCGUUGACUUAUACAGGACCUCGAGAGCUUUUAGAUCCCGGAGUUUCGGAUUCAGUUUUUAAACCAUCAGACUUUAAUAAAUUUUGAAAAAUUCGCAGUUUUUUUUUUCCUCCGAAAACUACAAAUUAUUCGAGGUUCGGAUAUUCAGAGCUUGAUAAAUAACCCCCUAAAUGUAUAUCAGAGAAGUGAUCAGCUCACAUCUGAUCAUUAGAUCAACAAAAAUAUAAUGACAUUUCACAUAAGUCAGGAACACUUUGGGCCCCCAACAGUCCUGAUAACCCCGGCAGCUGCAGGGUCUGCUGUUCCUUUUAGUAAGCCCUGGCCAAGGGGUGCAGUAAAGCAAUAUAAAAAAACAGCAAAACACUGGCUGGCUUGUUUGAGAAUUGUGGGUUGUGUGAGCAGAAACAGUUAAGGCAUGGUCAUAUGUUUAUGUGCUAAUACUGGAGCCUUGUCUUCAAAAACAUAAACACAGCUAUUUACAUUUCAAUCACUGAAAGACAGAUAAGCUUAUCCUGCACAUUCCAGUCUCCUGGGGGGGCAGCAAGAACAAAUUGAUGAAACAAAUCCAGUGAAACCAGUUUCUCUUCCUUUGGUUUUGGUGAAUGUUCUGUAUACUCUACUUCAAUGAUCCCCAACCAGUGUCUCAGGAGCAACAUGUUGCUCACCAACCCCUUGGAUGUUAUUCUCAGUGGCCUCAAAACAGUUGCUUUUUUUUAAUUCCAGGUUUGGAGGCAGGUUUUGGUUGCAGAAAAACCAGGUGUACCACCAAACAGAGCCUCCUGUAGACUGUCGACAUAGGCACUACCAUACAGUCAAUCACAGCUAGGGUUGCCACCUUUUCCUAAUUUUUUUACCAACUGCUGGGGGGGCGGGCACAAAAAGGGGCGGAGUGUGACAUCAAAAGGAUCGGGUCAUGAUGUAAAGGGGCAGUACCGCGGUACGCAGAUUUCAAGACGGAGGAAUUUGUAAUACUGGCCCCGGCCUUGGCAGGUGUUUUACAGGCUAGGCUGAUAUUAAUCACAUCCCUUAUUUGGCACAACCCGGGAUUUUUUUCGUGCUUGUGUUGCUCCCCAAUUCUUUUGAAUGUGGCUCAUAGGUAGAAAAAAGUUGGGGAUCCCUGCUCUACUUGCUAGCUUUCUGAAGGUGGGGUACAUACACAUGCUUUACGGUUCUGAAGAAUAUUAAGUGGGGCAGGUCCGGACUGGCAAUCUAUGGGUUCUGGUAAAUGCAAGAGGGGCUGCUGUAAGAUGCCAUAGACACUCACUAUUUAGUGAGCUCUUGAGCCCUCUGUGUACUUGGAAUGUCAGGACCUAUUUUGACUCCCAGUCCAGACCUGGGGUGGGGGCUGAGAAGAUGAACCGAGGGAAACAGGGCAUUUUGC